GGAAAUGUCAAGGAGUGAGGAACAAGUGUGGAUUUGUCUGGUUCACUGGCUUUGAGACAGCACCUGGCAACGUAGUGCGGAGACAGACGCGAGCCUUCAAAAAAAUUUGGCUCUGGCCCACGGCCAAACCUCUUGGAUUUGGACCAGAAUGGCCACUUUUGUGGAGGCAGAUAUAUCUGUGGAGGGAAGGAAAGUAGCGCGUAUCCUGGUCAUGCUGUUUUCCCAGAGAAAACAAUUAUGCGAGAUAUCUACAGCUUUGUGUUAUUGCCUUAAUUCUGGAGAUGAGAAAGGAUAACAAAGAAGGAAUGUCACUUUUUCCCGAUGAUACAGCCAUUGUCAGACCCAUGAGGGGGUCUCUGAAAUGCCUUGCUCUUAGUCUUGUUCUCAUUCCUCUGGGUUACAAAGACGUGACAGAUACAGUACAUGUUCUGUUCUUACUCUGCAUAGCAAAAUCAGACAAUUAGGAAGACUCUUUGAACAUGAAAACUGAAGACUGAAUA
Long non-coding RNA from Tyto alba (common barn owl), 500 nucleotides. RefSeq lists it as uncharacterized. The transcript is spliced from 3 exons. The record is from RefSeq and is a predicted model, not a curated record. NCBI's taxonomy places the organism in Eukaryota, Metazoa, Chordata, Aves, Strigiformes, Tytonidae.